Molecule: ribosomal RNA, 585 nt
Filed under: uncultured Polaromonas sp.
Lineage: Bacteria; Pseudomonadati; Pseudomonadota; Betaproteobacteria; Burkholderiales; Comamonadaceae
Description: bacterial SSU rRNA
Rfam family: Bacterial small subunit ribosomal RNA
Source: RNAcentral
ACGGGUGAGUAAUAUAUCGGAACGUGCCCAAUCGUGGGGGAUAACGUAGAGAAAUUUACGCUAAUACCGCAUACGAUCUAAGGAUGAAAGCGGGGGAUCGCAAGACCUCGCGCGAUUGGAGCGGCUGAUAUCAGAUUAGGUUGUUGGUGAGGUAAAAGCUCACCAAGCCGACGAUCUGUAGCUGGUUUGAGAGAACGACCAGCCACACUGGGACUGAGACACGGCCCAGACUCCUACGGGAGGCAGCAGUGGGGAAUUUUGGACAAUGGGCGAAAGCCUGAUCCAGCAAUGCCGCGUGCAGGAAGAAGGCCUUCGGGUUGUAAACUGCUUUUGUACGGAGCGAAACGGCUCUUUCUAAUAAAGAGGGCUAAUGACGGUACCGUAAGAAUAAGCACCGGCUAACUACGUGCCAGCAGCCGCGGUAAUACGUAGGGUGCGAGCGUUAAUCGGAAUUACUGGGCGUAAAGCGUGCGCAGGCGGUUAUGUAAGACAGUUGUGAAGUCCCCGGGCUCAACCUGGGAAUUGCAUCUGUGACUGCAUAGCUAGAGUACGGUAGAGGGGGAUGGAAUUCCGCGUGUAGCAGUG